GACACUCCUCUUUAAUUUAAUAAGACUUUGACUUUGGUGAGGAUCGUUUCAGAGUCCAGGUAGCUUGAGCAGACAACAGGCUAAAGAAUUUUGAAAGCAUGUUCCGGUAUUAGAGUUCUCACAAGUGAUUUGUGCACUGCUGUUGUCACUUCCUCAGGCCUUCCCUGUUUCCUUGGGAACUAAGAAGGGAAUUAAUCUGGAAGUUCUAAAGCUAUGCACAAGACCUUAUAAGAUUUUUUUUUUCUAGAGAAUUGUCUUCAUCUACUCUUUGUCAUCUGUUCUAAGAAAUGACAGUUGAGAGCAAGAGUCAUUUGAAAAUUUUCCACCUCUUACUUUUGGUCUGUGUUGUAAUUAAUCAAGACACUUUUUAAACAAAAUUAAAUCCAGCAGUUAGACCUCGUGUUGGUUCAAUAUUCAACUCUCAUUUCCCAUUAACUAUAUUGUCUUCCUGCUGCCAUCUGGUGAAAAAAUUUGGGACAACAGCUGGUGAAUUCUUUACUUGAUUUGCAUUCUCAGGAAUAAUGUUCUUUGUAGUGACAUGAGCAUGAGAGAUGAGCCAAUAUGUUUGUAGUUGUAAGGUAACUACCCAACAAUUAAAAUAUUUUAGACAUUUUCUGUUUCUAAUGAGUACUUCUAGUUUUAUAGUUUAUAAUCAUAAUGAGCUGCUGAGAAGAAAAGGGGUGGAAUCAGGAAAGAUUUCUACAGUCUUUUUUAAUGUUUUAGUUUCAGCUUUUUUAGCAAAGAAUUUGGGAUCUAUAUUUAGUGUAGAGCUGCCUUAAUAUAGGAUUUCUCCCAUGUGACUUUAAUCUCCAUUGUUUUUUAGUUUAAAAGGACACUGUGAACUCACUGUUUUUAAAAUAAUGUACACUAUAUCAGCUAAGUGUCUUUUUCUGUAUACAUUUUUUUCUUUCUCUCUGAAAGACUGAAUGAAUUUUGAGAUUGGAUUUGGCAAAUAAACAUCUCUCGUUAGUAUUUUGAAGACUUCUGUAAAUCCCAUCCUGGAAACAUGUGUUUGUGGAAUAUGCUCACAGAAGCACCACUCAGGGGCACUCCAGACUUGGGCUAUUUUCAGCUUACCCAGAAUAGUAACAGCAGCUUCCAGGAAAGCUAAGGAGAUUAAGGAGAACUUUUGUACCUGAAGCAGCUCAUCCUCACAGGGGGAUGAGUUGGUCCAGGAUCACAUCUACUGUGCCAAUGGCAGUAGAACCGUAGAGGGAACAUCUGGACUUCAGCUGGAAGCGUACUUCCCAGCAUGGGUAGACAGACACACUAGCUCUGCUCAAGCUAGCAAGCAAAAAUAGCAGUGUAAGCAAGAGUGGCACAGAUGGCUAGUCAGGCUAACUAUCCAAGUACAAACCCACCUGAUCCCCCCUGGGUACAAACUCAGAUGGCUAACCUGAGCUGCUGCUGGUGCUACCCCCAGCUAUGCUGGUAUUCUUAGCACACUAGCUUGAACAGAACUAGUGUGUGUCUGUCUACUCGAGCUGGGAAGCAUGCUCCCAGCUGCAAUGUAGACAUAAGCACAGAAAGUAGUACUAAAGCAAGGCAUGGUCCAUGGUUGAUUAGGGAGGAGGGUCAGACAGUGUGGUACAAAAGGGAGUCCACAAAAACAGGACACACAUUUUUAUAGAGUACAUCUACAUUGCAGAUGGGAGCAUGCUUCUCAACUUGGGUAGACAGAAGCCUAGCUCACUAAAAAUAGCAUGAGGGUAGCAUGAGAUUACCCAUUCUGUAAAAGUUCUUGUCCCCCUGUUUUCACUGGUAGUAACUUGAACAGCUUUCUAUAUCAGAACAGCUUUCCGCUGCACUCUUUUGA
Molecule: long non-coding RNA, 1816 nt
Organism: Dermochelys coriacea (leatherback sea turtle)
Lineage: Eukaryota; Metazoa; Chordata; Testudines; Dermochelyidae
Exons: 3
Source: RefSeq, a predicted model, not a curated record